CCUACGGGAGGCUGCAGUGAGGAAUAUUGGUCAAUGGGCGAGAGCCUGAACCAGCCAAGUCGCGUGAGGGAAGACGGUUCUAUGGAUUGUAAACUUCUUUUGCCGGGGAGCAAAAAGCGGUACGUGUACCGCAUCGAGAGUACCCGGAGAAAAAGCAUCGGCUAACUCCGUGCCAGCGGCCGCGGUAAUACGGAGGAUGCGAGCGUUAUCCGGAUUUAUUGGGUUUAAAGGGUGCGAGGGGGGUGAGUUAAGUUAGCGGUAAAAUUUCGGGGCUCAACCCCGACGAGCCGUUGAAACUGGUUGGCUAGAGUGGGGGAGAAGUAGGCGGAAUGCGUGGUGUAGCGGUGAAAUGCAUAGAGAUCACGCAGAACUCCGAUUGCGAAGGCAGCAUACCGGCGCCCAACUGACGCUGAGGCACGAAAGCGUGGGGAGCGAACAGGAUUAGAUACCCCAGUAGUC
Molecule: ribosomal RNA, 459 nt
Filed under: uncultured bacterium
Lineage: Bacteria
Description: partial 16S ribosomal RNA
Rfam family: Bacterial small subunit ribosomal RNA
Source: RNAcentral